ACCUGACUGCUAUCGGAUUGAUACUAAGCCAUGCGAGUCAUUGUAGCAAUACAAGGCAUACGGCUCAGUAACGCGUAGUCAACCUAACCUAUGGACGGGAAUAACCUCGGGAAACUGAGAAUAAUGCCCGAUAGAACAUUAUGCCUGGAAUGGUUUAUGCUCCAAAUGAUUUAUCGCCGUAGGAUGGGACUGCGGCCUAUCAGUUUGUUGGUGAGGUAAUGGCCCACCAAGACUAUUACAGGUACGGGCUCUGAGAGGAGUAGCCCGGAGAUGGGUACUGAGACACGGACCCAGGCCCUAUGGGGCGCAGCAGGCGAGAAAACUUUGCAAUGUGCGAAAGCACGACGAGGUUAAUCCGAGUGGUUUCUGCUAAAGAAACCUUUUGUCAGUCCUAGAAACACUGAUGAAUAAGGGGUGGGCAAGUUCUGGUGUCAGCCGCCGCGGUAAAACCAGCACCUCAAGUGGUCAGGAUGAUUAUUGGGCCUAAAGCAUCCGUAGCCGGCUCUGUAAGUUUUCGGUUAAAUCUAUGCGCUCAACGUAUAGGCUGCCGAAAAUACUGCAGAACUAGGGAGUGGGAGAGGUAGACGGUACUCGGUAGGAAGGGGUAAAAUCCUUUGAUCUAUUGAUGACCACCUGUGGCGAAGGCGGUCUACCAGAACACGUUCGACGGUGAGGGAUGAAAGCUGGGGGAGCAAACCGGAUUAGAUACCCGGGUAGUCCCAGCUGUAAACGAUGCAAACUCGAUGAUGCGUUGGCUUAUUGCUAGCGCAGUGUCGCAGGGAGGCCGUUAAGUUUGCCGCCUGGGAAGUACGUACGCAAGUAUGAAACUUAAAGGAAUUGGCGGGGGAGCACCACAAGGGGUGAAGCCUGCGGUUCAAUUGGAGUCAACGCCGGGAAU
This 898-nucleotide ribosomal RNA is filed under the name uncultured marine group I thaumarchaeote. RNAcentral describes it as "bacterial SSU rRNA". It matches the Rfam family "Archaeal small subunit ribosomal RNA", at positions 21 to 925 of the family's 1478-position model. The record is from RNAcentral. Lineage: Archaea; Thermoproteati; Nitrososphaerota.